Molecule: ribosomal RNA, 492 nt
Filed under: uncultured bacterium
Lineage: Bacteria
Description: partial 16S ribosomal RNA
Rfam family: Bacterial small subunit ribosomal RNA
Source: RNAcentral
AGUGAACGCUGGCGGUAGGCCUAACACAUGCAAGUCGAACGGCAGCACAGUAAGAGCUUGCUCUUACGGGUGGCGAGUGGCGGACGGGUGAGGAAUACAUCGGAAUCUACUUUUUCGUGGGGGAUAACGUAGGGAAACUUACGCUAAUACCGCAUACGACCUACGGGUGAAAGCAGGGGAUCUUCGGACCUUGCGCGAUUGAAUUAGCCGAUGUCGGAUUAGCUAGUUGGCGGGGUAAAGGCCCACCAAGGCGACGAUCCGUAGCUGGUCUGAGAGGAUGAUCAGCCACACUGGAACUGAGACACGGUCCAGACUCCUACGGGAGGCAGCAGUGGGGAAUAUUGGGCAAUGGGCGAAAGCCUGAUCCAGCAAUACCGCGUGGGUGAAGAAGGUCUUCGGGUUGUAAAGCCCUUUUGUUGGGAAAGAAAAGAAGCAGGUUAAUACCCCGCUGUCCUGACGGUACCCAAAGAAUAAGCACCGGCUAACUUCGUG